CAAUUGACAACUGAAACACGGCCUUUUGUCACUAUCACGUCACGUGCAGAGUGAAACAUACGAAGGAUUUUGUUAAUGUACAUAAUAUUUUUAUUAUAAUUUAAGUCCUUUUCAGAAAAAAUAUAUUUUUAUUAUAAUAUAAAAUUCAAGUUUCGAAAGCAAAACAGAAUAUGAAAGGCAUGCAAAAGGUAGUAAUCAUUCACCAAUAAUUGUGACAUAUACCCACUCACUCUUACUCCUCAUCUAAACUAUAAAUGUUAUCACAUGGUAG
Molecule: long non-coding RNA, 271 nt
Filed under: Brassica napus (rape)
Lineage: Eukaryota; Viridiplantae; Streptophyta; Magnoliopsida; Brassicales; Brassicaceae
Description: long non-coding RNA (BNAP_LNC007938)
Source: RNAcentral